GAUGAACGCUAGCGAUAGGCUUAACACAUGCAAGUCGAGGGGCAGCACAAGGUAGCUUGCUAUCUGGGUGGCGACCGGCGCACGGGUGCGUAACGCGUAUGCAACUUGCCCUAUACAGGAGGAUAACCCGUCGAAAGACGGACUAAUACUGCGUAUGCUCACAACUUGGCAUCCAGUGGUGAGGAAAGAAAUUCGGUAUAGGAUAGGCAUGCGUCCCAUUAGCUUGUUGGUGAGGUAACGGCUCACCAAGGCAACGAUGGGUAGGGGAACUGAGAGGUUUAUCCCCCAGACUGGUACUGAGACACGGACCAGACUCCUACGGGAGGCAGCAGUGAGGAAUAUUGGUCAAUGGGCGCGAGCCUGAACCAGCCAAGUCGCGUGAAGGAUGACUGUCUUAUGGAUUGUAAACUUCUUUUAUACGGGAAUAACAAGAGUCACGUGUGACUCCCUGCAUGUACCGUAUGAAUAAGCAUCGGCUAACUCCGUG
RNAcentral lists this ribosomal RNA (487 nucleotides) under uncultured bacterium. RNAcentral's name for it is "partial 16S ribosomal RNA". It matches the Rfam family "Bacterial small subunit ribosomal RNA", at positions 28 to 507 of the family's 1533-position model. The record is from RNAcentral.